UACGGGGGGGGCGAGCGUUGUUCGGAAUUACUGGGCGUAAAGGGUUUGUAGGUGGUCUGCUAAGUCAGACGUGAAAUCCCUCAGCUUAACUGGGGAACUGCGUCUGAUACUGGCGGACUUGAGGACAGGAGAGGAACGCGGAAUUCCAGGUGUAGCGGUGAAAUGCGUAGAUAUCUGGAGGAACACCGGUGGCGAAGGCGGGUCUCUGGGCCGAUAUUGACGCUGAGGAGCGAAAGCGUGGGGAGCGAACAGG
RNAcentral lists this ribosomal RNA (253 nucleotides) under uncultured bacterium. RNAcentral describes it as "partial 16S ribosomal RNA". It matches the Rfam family "Bacterial small subunit ribosomal RNA", at positions 524 to 776 of the family's 1533-position model. The record is from RNAcentral.